AAUUGCGGCAGCAGGUUCGCCUGUUGCCACGCCUGGCCGAGAGUCGGCUUACCAUCUAUCACGGCGCCCAAUUGGCCGUGGCUUGGCCUGAUGCCAUCUGACUAAUUGCCAAUCUUGUAUUGGUGUCAGAAUAUAUGGCGCUUGCCUAACCUUACGGAGCUAGUGUUCUUACGUGUAUACUCCUUCUAUAUAUCAUUAUAAUUACCCUGGAGUAUGCAUGUUUGACCUGUGUACGGGAACACGAUAAGUGUAGACUUGGUUUUACUUGUUCUCCUUCGCCUUUGUGCCUGCGGGAUGAGUAGUGACCUACUGGUGAGGUUCGCUGCCUAAUAAGCAUUGUGAAACUCACUUAGGUACCUGCUUGUAUCGAAGUGCGCCGCUGGUGAGUAUGGAAGAACUGCCCGUGCAAUGUGGUGUACAACGCUAAGUGUCUGUUGUUAUUAACAAAAUGGUGUAACAGUUUGUGGACUGCGUGUCUGUAAACGGCUCUAUGUGC
RNAcentral lists this ribosomal RNA (496 nucleotides) under Anchoromicrocotyle guaymensis. Its description in RNAcentral is "eukaryotic LSU rRNA". Lineage: Eukaryota; Metazoa; Platyhelminthes; Monogenea; Mazocraeidea; Microcotylidae. The record is from RNAcentral.